This 29-nucleotide small RNA is filed under the name Bombyx mori (domestic silkworm). RNAcentral's name for it is "ovarian small RNA-35845". Lineage: Eukaryota; Metazoa; Arthropoda; Insecta; Lepidoptera; Bombycidae. The record is from RNAcentral.
UGUCUUCCUCGUCGCGGUCCGCGCAGUGG